AACGAACGCUGGCGGCAUGCCUAACACAUGCAAGUCGAACGAGACCUUCGGGUCUAGUGGCGCACGGGUUCGUAACGCGUGGGAACCUGCCCUUAGGUUCGGAAUAACUCCCCGAAAGGGGUGCUAAUACCGGAUAAUGUCUUCGGACCAAAGAUUUAUCGCCUUUGGAUGGGCCCGCGUUGGAUUAGCUAGUUGGUAGGGUAAAAGCCUACCAAGGCGACGAUCCAUAGCUGGUCUGAGAGGAUGAUCAGCCACACUGGGACUGAGACACGGCCCAGACUCUUACGGGAGGUAGCAGUGGGGAAUAUUGGACAAUGGGCGAAAGCCUGAUCCAGCAAUGCCGGGUGAGUGAUGAAGGCCUUAGGGUUGUAAAGCUCUUUUACCCGGGAUGAUAAUGACAGUACCGGGAGAAUAAGCUCCGGCUAACUCCGUG
This 433-nucleotide ribosomal RNA is filed under the name uncultured bacterium. RNAcentral's name for it is "partial 16S ribosomal RNA". It matches the Rfam family "Bacterial small subunit ribosomal RNA", at positions 29 to 507 of the family's 1533-position model. The record is from RNAcentral.